GUCAUACUUCGUAACAGAGCUUUAGUCUUAAAAACAUUUAAUAUAAAUAUAAUAUGGUUUUCAGCGGCUUCGGAAAUUCCGGAUAGUCCAGAAACGCCCCACCAGCAGUCCGACCACGAUAGCGACUCGUCUGUCUUUGACACAGUCAAGAGCCCCACCAGUCAUACGUCUAUAGACCAAUUAGACCAGAACGGAACCCAUCCUCUCGGAUCUAGUUCGUCAGUCACGAGCGGUUCCAGUGGAUACAAACAAACCGUGCGGCGCCGCGCCGCCGAGCCGGCCUCCGCCUCCCUCGACCACGAGAUCAUGAGCUGCGGCCGCGACCUGCCGGGUACUCACACGAAACGCUCAUCGUCCGAAUGUCGGGACACAACCUCCUCGCCCCGCCGAGGACUCGAGUCCCGAGAAAGUUCGAUCAAAGACGAACUACGAAGGAACAACUCGCUCAGGGAAUCCCGCCGGGACUUUUCCCGGGAUCCCCCCACAACUUCCAUCGCGUGAUUUCAAUUCGGGUGGGUUAAAGCGUCUUUGUAAUGUUAAAGGUUGUCCGGGACUGAAUCUGUGUAAUUUUCUUUAAAUCUAAAUUCGUUUAAAUUAAUUAAUUCGUCUUAAUAUUAAAACUAUAUAAUUUUAUGCAUUGUCAAAGAAUUGAGAGUACCCUUUAAAAAAGAAAAAUUAAAAAAAAACAAUUAUUCGAUUUUCUUUUAGUAUUUUGAUAAGUCCGUCAACUAAAUUUUAAUUUUUGUUUUCUGUUUUUUUUUUUUUUUAUAAUAUUUCCGUAAAAUUAAAAUGAUUAAUUUUAAUCAAUGUAUACCUCAAAAGUUUCCUAAACUGCCGCAAUUCGUCCUCUUCCAAUAAACAAUCAGAUAUCCAUCCUCAAUGUAAUAGCUUAAGCUUAUCUAUUUAAAUAUGAAAA
This 916-nucleotide unclassified non-coding RNA is filed under the name Melitaea cinxia (Glanville fritillary). Its description in RNAcentral is "misc RNA ENSMCXG00005004949.1". Lineage: Eukaryota; Metazoa; Arthropoda; Insecta; Lepidoptera; Nymphalidae. The record is from RNAcentral.